GCUGGGCGCGGUGGUGCCUGCCUGUCAUCCCACAGGCUCGGGAGGCUGAGGCAGGAGGAUCGUGAGUUCAAAGCCAGCCUCCUCAAAAGCGAGGCCCUGAGCAACUCAGUGAGACCCUGUCUCUA
This 125-nucleotide small RNA is filed under the name Marmota monax (woodchuck). Lineage: Eukaryota; Metazoa; Chordata; Mammalia; Rodentia; Sciuridae. The record is from RNAcentral.